UGCAGGCUUUCCAUCAGCCUGCAAUACUGAAGAGGCACACCAUCAUUGCCGGAAGUGCGGUUGGGAUUUUCCCUCCAAUCCAUGGCAGACAAAGCCGGAUCUUCGCUCGUGGCAGGGCGUUGAUCCAAAGAUCGCGCGUUUGAGCGUGUCAA
Regulatory RNA element from Rhizobium sp. YS-1r, 152 nucleotides. It matches the Rfam family "speF leader". From Rfam's summary of the family: This family is a putative regulatory RNA structure that is found upstream of the speF gene encoding ornithine decarboxylase in Agrobacterium tumefaciens and other alpha-proteobacteria. The record is from Rfam. Lineage: Bacteria; Pseudomonadati; Pseudomonadota; Alphaproteobacteria; Hyphomicrobiales; Rhizobiaceae.